GAUGAACGCUAGCGGCAGGCUUAAUACAUGCAAGUCGAGGGGCAGCAGCUUUAUAGCAAUAUAGAGGCUGGCGACCGGCAAACGGGUGCGGAACACGUACACAACCUUCCUUUAAGAGGGGGAUAGCCCAUAGAAAUGUGGAUUAAUACCCCGUAACAUAUCGGUGUGGCAUCACACUGUUAUUAUAGUUUUGACGCUUGAAGAUGGGUGUGCGGCUGAUUAGGUAGUUGGCGGGGUAAAGGCCCACCAAGCCUUCGAUCAGUAGCUGAUGUGAGAGCAUGAUCAGCCACACGGGAACUGAGACACGGGCCCGACUCCUACGGGAGGCAGCAGUAAGGAAUAUUGGUCAAUGGACGCAAGUCUGAACCAGCCAUGCCGCGUGAAGGAUGAAGGUCCUCUGGAUUGUAAACUUCUUUUAUAGGGGGCGAAAAAAGGGAAUUCUUUCUCACUUGACAGUACCCUAUGAAUAAGCACCGGCUAACUCCGUGCCAGCAGCCGCCGUAA
Molecule: ribosomal RNA, 504 nt
Filed under: uncultured bacterium
Lineage: Bacteria
Description: partial 16S ribosomal RNA
Rfam family: Bacterial small subunit ribosomal RNA
Source: RNAcentral